GAAACUCGUACGAUCACCGAAAUUAAGCAACGCCGUGUCGUCUCAGUACUUAGAUGGGUGACCGCUUGUGAAUAUCAGGUGCUGUAAG
Acanthosepion pharaonis is the source of this 88-nucleotide non-coding RNA. Lineage: Eukaryota; Metazoa; Mollusca; Cephalopoda; Sepiida; Sepiidae. The record is from the annotation of a GenBank genome assembly.